This is a long non-coding RNA of Bos taurus (domestic cattle), 2115 nucleotides long. NCBI's taxonomy places the organism in Eukaryota, Metazoa, Chordata, Mammalia, Artiodactyla, Bovidae. The record is from Ensembl.
ACUUAAGGUCCUGUGUGGACCAUGGCCAGCAUCUCAGGACCAUCUGAGCUUCCUUGUUCACAGCUGAGCAACCGGGAGAGGACUGUCCAAGAUGGGGGCUGAACUUUUGUGAUCAGCUUGUCUCCUGACCUGCCAAGGGUUUCUCCCUCAGCUUAGCCAUCCCUCAUCCCAUGGGUGGCUGAGAGAGAAAGGUGGGCUGAGGAAGAGGCCAUGAUUGAGUCUCUGUUAACUAAAUGGUUUAUGGAUUCAAGGAGCUUGAGAGUUUCCAAGAGGUAUUCAGAUGGUGCUCCUGACUCCCAGGAGGAGGCAGUGUACGGGUGGCCACACGCCAUGAACUACACUCACCUAUAGGGCUCCUGCCAGAGUCAUCUACUCAACUUCUUGUCCAGGUGAAUCUUCAGGGUGUUUUCCAGUUGCCUCUGAUCUAAUUUCUCCCUUGAAUCCCCAGGUGACAUACAAAGUCACUUCCUGUCUCCUCAGAGUCAGACCCCGUACUCCUCACAGGGUGGCUUUCUAAAAACCUAGGUUGUUUGAGAGCUCUUUCUCAGGCAACAUGCCAGGGUUCUUGUGGGUCACUUUGCCAGCACUUUCACAUGGAAAUUCCCUGGUUCCCUCAGUGUCCUGUGGCCAAGAUUCUCCCUUGCUGCUUUGGCCCCCCACAGAGGGCUCUGAAGGUUCAUAAUUCCCUGCCAGUUUGCCCCAAGGCUGUCUCUGUACCAGGCGGGCCCAGUGUUGGAUGAAACUCUUUGAAAGGUGGUGCUCAAGCUACCAGCAGAUCUCAAUGCUAGUAGGAGAUUCUUCAGCCAGUAUGGAGCCUGGUACUUGGGGACAAAGAGGCCACGUUACACUGAGGAAUAUUGGGAGUGAGAGGAUAAAAGUUUUCCUGAGAUCUUUGGACCAAGAGUUCCAGCUGCUUAUGCUGUAAGUCCUGCUCUGGGAGUUAGGCCUGAGAGACUGUACUUCAUCCCGGGGUUCAGAGAAGGACACUAGGCAGGCCCUGUCUGGGGUGACAGAGUAGGAGAGAGGUUGAAUGUAGGCCUGAGUUAGGGGUGGGAUUCAAGAUCAGAGUGGACUGGGGCUACAGUGGGGAUUCUUUAGCCUGAAUAUGGACUGGGAAUGUACUGAAUAAGACAAAAGGAGACCCUAGUGGGGACCAGCCACCCAAGGCCAGGACAGUAGCCCCAGGGACUCACUGUGCUGAGAGGGGAGACCCUGAAAGAGCUGGCUCCAUUUCUGCUGCAAACAGUCCCUCUGAACUUCGGGACUUGGGAACUGCCCUGGCCUGCCGCCCCUGUGGUUUGUCUAUGAUGCUCUACAGGGCUUGGGAGUCUGUGGGUGUCCUGUGUGUCCACAAGAGACUCUGAAGUAGUCCUGGAAGAUUUCCUUGGUAGUCUGCCUCAGUUGCUUGGACCCCGAAGGUCUGCCUCCGGAUAUCCAUUACACUGUGUCUCACACUGCCACCUGCUGGGCAAGACCCACCGGCCAGCUCCACCGUUCUUCCACUCCUAGGACGGACCUAGCAGGGAACCAGCGAAGUGCGUGGAAGAAACCCUUGGACUUCCCUGGUGGUACAGUGGAUUAGAGUCUGAUGCCAGUGCAGGGGACAUGGGUUCAAUCCCUGGUCCAGGAAGAUUCCACAUGCCUCAGAGCCUGCGUGUCACAACUACUGAAACCCAUACACCUGUGCUCCACAUCAAGCGAAGCCACUGCAAUGAGAAGCCAUUCCACUGCAAUGAAGAGUAGCCCCGGCUUGCUGCAACUAGAGAAAGCCUGCUCUCAGUAACAAAGACCCUGCGUAACCAAAAAUAAAUAAGACAGCAGGGACAGCAAGCCUGCUCUCAGCCUUUCUACUGGCUCUUGGAGAACAGCAUCCUGGAUUCAGAUGACCAAAAAAAGAGGAGUUCAAGAAUGUGAGCAUGAAAGGGGACCUGCCACCUAGGUUUGCAGAUAGUGCAACAUAGGCUGGUGCAAGUUCGGUCAAGAUCUCCAAGUAUUUCAGUGACAAAGUUGGGACUCAGGCCUCUUGCAAAGGAAAAACAAAAACUAGAAAAGAUACUCACUGAGGUGUUUUCUGUGCUUUCUCUGGGUGAAUUAAUGUUACCUUGACUCUUCUUU